Paramuricea clavata is the source of this 281-nucleotide non-coding RNA. The record is from the annotation of a GenBank genome assembly. Lineage: Eukaryota; Metazoa; Cnidaria; Anthozoa; Malacalcyonacea; Plexauridae.
CGGCUUUAGUGUAAUUUUGGUGAUGACCGGAACAGAACUAAAGAUAUUUUAAAAACUGGCCGUGGCCUCACGAUAAAACUUUCUAAAAAUGUUCUCUGUUUCAUGUAUUUUUAUUUGAUAUCUUAGGUAUAAGCGUAAAAAUAGGGGCUCAUACAGUUUACGAGGUUGUAAAAUGCAUUACUUGCCUCUAUUUUCAUGUAAACAUUCCAAAUUUUUCGACAGCAAAGUAGCAACUGUUUCAGAUCGAAUGCACACGGACAGCCCACCAGAGACAAUGGCAG